Molecule: non-coding RNA, 303 nt
Organism: Poecilia reticulata (guppy)
Lineage: Eukaryota; Metazoa; Chordata; Actinopteri; Cyprinodontiformes; Poeciliidae
Source: RefSeq, a predicted model, not a curated record
GGCUCUCUCUGACGCCACCAGGUCCUCUCCUGUCAACACACGCAUGAUUCAGACAGGAACCACAUGGAAUGCUGGGAAAAUACAAAGAUGCAGACCAUCCUGCAGGCCUCUGGUCUCAGUGUUUCCCUUCAGACUCCCAGUGGGCUCACAGCUUCAGGAUGACCAGAGACCUUUCUGGAACAGGAACACCUGGCCAAAUGCACUGGUGACACAUUCAUUUAAAAAAAUGUGGCUGUUCUUAUACCAUUGAUAUGCAUGAACCGUCUGUAUUUUACUGUUUUGAAUAAACAAAAUAUUAUGAAA